UACACCUGUUCCCAUGCCGAACACAGAAGUUAAGCUUCUUAGCGCCGAUAGUAGUUGGGGGUUUCCCCCUGUGAGGGUAGGACGUCGCCA
Molecule: ribosomal RNA, 90 nt
Filed under: Enterococcus cecorum
Lineage: Bacteria; Bacillati; Bacillota; Bacilli; Lactobacillales; Enterococcaceae
Source: RNAcentral